GCACUGCUGAGGAGUCCCACUAUAGGACGAAACGGCCGUUCAGUGC
Non-coding RNA from Schistosoma rodhaini, 46 nucleotides. The record is from Rfam. NCBI's taxonomy places the organism in Eukaryota, Metazoa, Platyhelminthes, Trematoda, Strigeidida, Schistosomatidae.